Molecule: unclassified non-coding RNA, 253 nt
Filed under: uncultured Alphaproteobacteria bacterium
Lineage: Bacteria; Pseudomonadati; Pseudomonadota; Alphaproteobacteria
Description: contains 16S-23S intergenic spacer region
Rfam family: Bacterial small subunit ribosomal RNA
Source: RNAcentral
UACGGAGGGGGCUAGCGUUGUUCGGAAUUACUGGGCGUAAAGGGCGCGUAGGCGGUGUGUCAAGUCAGGCGUGAAAGCCCCGGGCUCAACCUGGGAACCGCGCUUGAGACUGGCACGCUAGAGUUCGGGAGAGGAUGGUGGAAUUCCCAGUGUAGAGGUGAAAUUCGUAGAUAUUGGGAAGAACACCGAUGGCGAAGGCAGCCAUCUGGACCGACACUGACGCUGAGGCGCGAAAGCUAGGGGAGCAAACGGA